This 253-nucleotide ribosomal RNA is filed under the name uncultured bacterium. RNAcentral's name for it is "partial 16S ribosomal RNA". It matches the Rfam family "Bacterial small subunit ribosomal RNA", at positions 524 to 776 of the family's 1533-position model. The record is from RNAcentral.
UACGAAGGGGGCUAGCGUUGCUCGGAAUCACUGGGCGUAAAGGGCGCGUAGGCGGAUCUUUAAGUCGGGGGUGAAAGCCCAGGGCUCAACCCUGGAAUUGCCUUCGAUACUGAAGAUCUCGAGACCGGAAGAGGUAAGUGGAACUGUGAGUGUAGAGGUGAAAUUCGUUGAUAUUCGCAAGAACACCAGUGGCGAAGGCGGCUUACUGGUCCGGUUCUGACGCUGAUGCGCGAAAGCGUGGGUAGCAAACAGG